RNAcentral lists this long non-coding RNA (246 nucleotides) under Gossypium barbadense (sea-island cotton). Its description in RNAcentral is "long non-coding RNA (GBAR_LNC010589)". The record is from RNAcentral. Lineage: Eukaryota; Viridiplantae; Streptophyta; Magnoliopsida; Malvales; Malvaceae.
AAGUCGAAGUCGUCCACACUAUCUAAACCUUUCGGUACUCUUGUAAAUGAACCUUGAUAAUGGCAUGUAUAGGAUUGACUUUUGAUGUUAAUUACGUAUCUUUUUGGUGAUGUAUAUAUGUAUAGCCAUGCGAAAAUGGCUUGUUAAGUUAUUAUAUGCGCUCCACAUAAUUAAUGUGUAUGUGUGGAUGAUAAUCGAUUAAUGUUUUAAAUGUUUUGAUGUGAAUUAAACUUAGGAAUGAAUUAA